This 857-nucleotide ribosomal RNA is filed under the name uncultured bacterium. Its description in RNAcentral is "SSU rRNA". It matches the Rfam family "Bacterial small subunit ribosomal RNA", at positions 524 to 1381 of the family's 1533-position model. The record is from RNAcentral.
UACGGAAGUGGCAAGCGUUAUCCGGAAUUAUUGGGCGUAAAGCGUCCGCAGGCGGUCUUGUAAGACUGUUGUUAAAGCGUGGAGCUUAACUCCAUUUCAGCAAUGGAAACUGUAAGACUAGAGUGUGGUAGAGGCAGAGGGAAUUCCCGGUGUAGCGGUGAAAUGCGUAGAUAUCGGGAAGAACACCAAUGGCGAAGGCGCUCUGCUGGGCCAUAACUGACGCUCAUGGACGAAAGCCAGGGGAGCGAAAGGGAUUAGAUACCCCUGUAGUCCUGGCCGUAAACGAUGAACACUAGGUGUCGGGGGAAUCGACCCCCUCGGCGUCGUAGCCAACGCGUUAAGUGUUCCGCCUGGGGAGUACGCACGCAAGUGAGAAACUCAACGGAAUUGACGGGGGCCCGCACAAGCGGCGGAGUAUGUGGUGUAAUUCGAUGCAACGCGAAGAACCUUACCAGGCUUUGACGUCCUGCGAAUCUCUUGGAAACGAGAGAGUGCCUUCGGGAACGCAGUGACAGGUGGUGCAUGGCUGUCGUCAGCUCGUGUCGUGAGAUGUUGGGUUAAGUCCCGCAACGAGCGCAACCCACGUCGUUAGUUGCCAGCAUUUAGUUGGGCACUCUAGCGAGACCGCCGGUGAUAAACCGGAGGAAGGUGUGGAUGACGUCAAGUCAUCAUGCCCCUUACAUCCUGGGCUACACACGUCCUACAAUGCUCCGGACAAAGGGCAGCCAACUCGCGAGAGCUAGCCAAUCCCAUAAACCGUGGCUCAGUUCAGAUCGUAGUCUGCAACUCGCCUACGUGAAGGAGGAAUCGCUAGUAAUCGCAGGUCAGCAUACCGCGGUGAAUACGUUCCCGGGCCU